This 378-nucleotide unclassified non-coding RNA is filed under the name uncultured Thermoleophilia bacterium. Its description in RNAcentral is "contains 16S-23S intergenic spacer region". The record is from RNAcentral. Lineage: Bacteria; Bacillati; Actinomycetota; Thermoleophilia.
UCCGGUUUGUCACCGGCAGUCUCCCAUGAGUCCCCGACAUGACUCGCUGGCAACAUGGGACAGGGGCUGCGCUCGUUGCGGGACUUAACCCAACAUCUCACGACACGAGCUGACGACAGCCAUGCACCACCUGUACACCUGCCCCGAAGGGCUGUCGUAUUUCUACGACAUUCAGGUGCAUGUCAAGCCCUGGUAAGGUUCUUCGCGUUGCGUCGAAUUAAACCACAUGCUCCGCUGCUUGUGCGGGCCCCCGUCAAUUCCCUUGAGUUUUAGCCUUGCGGCCGUACUCCCCAGGCGGGGCACUUAAUGCGUUAGCUUCGGCACGGAGGGAGUCGACACCCCCCACACCUAGUGCCCAUCGUUUACAGCGUGGACUAC